This 614-nucleotide ribosomal RNA is filed under the name uncultured fungus. Its description in RNAcentral is "eukaryotic LSU rRNA". It matches the Rfam family "Eukaryotic large subunit ribosomal RNA", at positions 24 to 664 of the family's 3401-position model. Lineage: Eukaryota; Fungi. The record is from RNAcentral.
CCCGCUGAACUUAAGCAUAUCAAUAAGCGGAGGAAAAGAAACCAACAGGGAUUGCCCUAGUAACGGCGAGUGAAGCGGCAACAGCUCAAAUUUGAAAUCUGGCCUCACGGUCCGAGUUGUAAUUUGCAGAGGAUGCUUUUGGCGCGGUGCCUUCCGAGUUCCCUGGAACGGGACGCCAUAGAGGGUGAGAGCCCCGUCUGGUUGGACACCUAGCCUCUGUAAAGCUCCUUCGACGAGUCGAGUAGUUUGGGAAUGCUGCUCUAAAUGGGAGGUAUAUGUCUUCUAAAGCUAAAUACCGGCCAGAGACCGAUAGCGCACAAGUAGAGUGAUCGAAAGAUGAAAAGCACUUUGAAAAGAGGGUUAAACAGUACGUGAAAUUGUUGAAAGGGAAGCGCUUGUGACCAGACUUGGGCUUGGUAAAUCAUCUGGCGUUCUCGCCAGUGCACUUUGCCGGUCCAGGCCAGCAUCAGUUCGCCGUGGGGGAUAAAGGUUUCGGGAAUGUGGCUCCCCCGGGAGUGUUAUAGCCCGUUGCGCAAUACCCUGGGGCGGACUGAGGUUCGCGCUCCACAAGGAUGCUGGCGUAAUGGUCAUCAGCGACCCGUCUUGAAACACGG